CCUACGGGAGGCAGCAGUGAGGAAUAUUGGUCAAUGGGCGGAAGCCUGAACCAGCCAAGUAGCGUGCGGGAUGAAGGCCCUACGGGUCGUAAACCGCUUUUGCACGGGGAUAACACCCUCCACUUGUGGAGGUCUGCAGGUACCGUGCGAAUAAGGGCCGGCUAAUUCCGUGCCAGCAGCCGCGGUAAUACGGAAGGCCCGAGCGUUAUCCGGAUUCAUUGGGCUUAAAGGGGGCGUAGGCGGGCGUUCAAGUCAGCUGUAAAAGCGCGCGGCUCAACCGCGCCCCGCAGUUGAAACUGGACGCCUUGAGUUCACAACAGGCAGGCGGAAUUCGUGGUGUAGCGGUGAAAUGCAUAGAUAUCACGAGGAGCCCCGAUUGCGAAGGCAGCCUGCCGGGGUGCGACUGACGCUGAGGCUCGAAGGUGCGGGUAUCAAACAGGAUUAGAUACCCCGGUAGUC
This 459-nucleotide ribosomal RNA is filed under the name uncultured bacterium. Its description in RNAcentral is "partial 16S ribosomal RNA". It matches the Rfam family "Bacterial small subunit ribosomal RNA", at positions 338 to 795 of the family's 1533-position model. The record is from RNAcentral.